GCUUACGGCCACACCACCCUGAACACGCCCGAUCUCGUCCGAUCUCGGAAGCUAAGCAGGGCCGGGCCUGGUUAGUACUUGGAUGGGAGACCGCCUGGGAAUACCAGGUGCUGUAAGUU
Oryzias javanicus (javanese ricefish) is the source of this 119-nucleotide ribosomal RNA. The record is from Ensembl. NCBI's taxonomy places the organism in Eukaryota, Metazoa, Chordata, Actinopteri, Beloniformes, Adrianichthyidae.